RNAcentral lists this ribosomal RNA (120 nucleotides) under uncultured bacterium. RNAcentral describes it as "partial 16S ribosomal RNA". It matches the Rfam family "Bacterial small subunit ribosomal RNA", at positions 796 to 913 of the family's 1533-position model. The record is from RNAcentral.
CACGCCGUAAACGUUGGGCGCUAGGUGUGGGGAACCUUCCACGUUCUCCGUGCCGUAGCUAACGCAUUAAGCGCCCCGCCUGGGGAGUACGGCCGCAAGGCUAAAACUCAAAGGAAUUGA